AUACGGAGGGUGCAAGCGUUACUCGGAAUCACUGGGCGUAAAGCGCGCGCAGGCGGCCAUUUAAGUUGGAUGUGAAAGCCUACGGCUCAACCGUAGAACUGCAUCCAAAACUAUUUGGCUAGAGUGUGGGAGAGGAAGAUGGAAUUAGUUGUGUAGGGGUAAAAUCCGUAGAGAUAACUAGGAAUACCAAAAGCGAAGGCAAUCUUCUGGAACACUACUGACGCUGAGGCGCGAAGCGUGGGGAGCAAACGGGAUUAGAUACCCUAGUAGUCC
This 273-nucleotide ribosomal RNA is filed under the name uncultured bacterium. Its description in RNAcentral is "partial 16S ribosomal RNA". It matches the Rfam family "Bacterial small subunit ribosomal RNA", at positions 523 to 796 of the family's 1533-position model. The record is from RNAcentral.